Non-coding RNA from Acanthosepion pharaonis, 109 nucleotides. The record is from the annotation of a GenBank genome assembly. Lineage: Eukaryota; Metazoa; Mollusca; Cephalopoda; Sepiida; Sepiidae.
GGUCACAUCACAUUGAAACAACGUUUCCCGUACGAUCACCGAAGUUAAGCAACGUCGAGCUAGGUCAGUAACUAAAUGCAUGGCCAUUUGGGAAUACCAGGUGCUGUAA